AGAGUUUGAUCCUGGCUCAGGACGAACGCUGGCGGCGCGCCUAACACAUGCAAGUCGAGCGUGAAGCCCACCUUCGGGUGGGUGGAAAGCGGCGAACGGGUGAGUAACACGUGAGGAACCUACCCCGGACACCGGAAUAACAGUGGGAAACCGCUGCUAAUGCCGGAUACUCCAACUCCACCGCAUGGCGGAGUUGCGGAAAGGUCCGCCGGUCCGGGAUGGUCUCGCGGCCUAUCGGCUUGUUGGUGGGGUAACGGCCUACCAAGGCAACGACGGGUAGCUGGCGUGAGAGCGUGGCCAGCCACACUGGGACUGAGAUACGGCCCAGACUCCUACGGGAGGCAGCAGUGGGGAAUCUUGCACAAUGGGCGAAAGCCUGAUGCAGCGACGCCGCGUGAGGGAUGAAGGCCCUAGGGUUGUAAACCUCUUUCAGCAGGGACGAAGCGAAAGUGACGGUACCUGCAGAAGAAGCCCCGGCUAACUACGUGCCAGCAGCCGCGGUAAUACGUAGGGGGCGAGCGUUGUCCGGAUUUAUUGGGCGUAAAGAGCGCGUAGGUGGUUCGUAAAGUCGGAAGUGAAAUUCCAGGGCUCAACCCUGGGACGCCUUUCGAUACUUGCGGACUAGAGCACGGUAGGGGGAUCUGGAAUUCCUGGUGUAGCGGUGAAAUGCGCAGAUAUCAGGAGGAACACCGGUGGCGAAGGCGGGAUCCUGGGCCGUUGCUGACACUGAGGCGCGAAAGCUGGGGGAGCGAACAGGAUUAGAUACCCUGGUAGUCCCAGCCGUAAACGAUGGGUGCUAGGUGUGGGAGGCUAUCGACGUCUUCCGUGCCGCAGCUAACGCAUUAAGCACCCCGCCUGGGGAGUACGGCCGCAAGGCUAAAACUCAAAGGAAUUGACGGGGGCCCGCACAAGCGGCGGAGCAUGUGGCUUAAUUCGAGGCAACGCGAAGAACCUUACCUGGGCUUGACAUCAGGGGAAAAGCUGUGGAGACACGGUGUCCGCAAGGGCCCCUGACAGGUGGUGCAUGGCUGUCGUCAGCUCGUGCCGUGAGGUGUUGGGUUAAGUCCCGCAACGAGCGCAACCCCCGUCUUUAGUUGCCAGCACGUAAUGGUGGGGACUCUAGAGAGACUGCCGGCGUUGAGCCGGAGGAAGGUGGGGAUGACGUCAAGUCAUCAUGCCCUUUAUGUCCAGGGCUGCACACAUGCUACAAUGCCGGCCACAAUGGGCUGCGACCCUGCGAGGGUGAGCGAAUCCCAAAAAAGUCGGCCAAGUUCGGAUUGUAGUCUGCAACUCGACUGCAUGAAGUCGGAGUCGCUAGUAAUCGCGGAUCAGCAACGCCGCGGUGAAUACGUUCCCGGGCCUUGUACACACCGCCCGUCACACCACGAAAGUCGGUAACACCCGAAGCCAGUGGCCCAACCGCAAGGAGGGAGCUGUCGAAGGUGGGAUCGGCGAUUGGGGUGAAGUCGUAACAAGGUAGCCGUA
This 1485-nucleotide ribosomal RNA is filed under the name uncultured Actinomycetales bacterium. RNAcentral's name for it is "bacterial SSU rRNA". It matches the Rfam family "Bacterial small subunit ribosomal RNA". Lineage: Bacteria; Bacillati; Actinomycetota; Actinomycetes; Actinomycetales. The record is from RNAcentral.